AUUCCUGACCCUUAUCUAUGUUGAUGGACAUAAUUCUGCUUAUACUCCAUGAUAUGGCAAUGCCAGACUGUAUUUGUCCAUUUACCUAUUGGUUAAAAAUCGUUUAAAUUUUUUCUACUUUUCAGGAACUAACUACUGCAGACAAUAUUUCAAUAUCUUUUUUCCUUUGAAAAUAAUUUAGUAAGUAUGGAAUACUUAGUACAAGGACCUAGUUAAUAAGGGAAUUCACCAUAGUCUGUAGCAAACUGCUAUUGUUUUCUAGUUUAUGAUAAGUUCAUAAUAAACUAUAACACCCAGGAAAAUAGGACUAUAUCUAUCUGUACAUUUCUUGCAUAUUUUCAUAAAACUAUGACUAGUCAAAAUUUCAAAGCAUUGCUAAAUGAAUAAAUAAAUCAAUUCCCAUAGCCACUCUCAAAGACUAAAAAGAGCAGGAUCACAAGAUGUUCAGGAUGGGACAGUUUCAUUUGACCAGUUCCCCAUGAACCUAAACUGCCUUUGUCUUUCUGUCUCCAGGUUGAAGUUGAGACCAACCCACUGUUCAGAGUAACACAUAAAUCUGCUGUUCAGAUCCACUUGUGGCUACAACGUACCUUCAUGUCGACACACUUGAAGCAAAGAAGCAGAACUUCUGGUUCACAACUUCCAGUCCUGAAAUCCAGAAAAUUCUGGGGAAAAAAAUUUUUUCUGAAAAAUCUUUAUCCAGCUUGACUUGAAUUCAUCUGAGGACAAAUUUGAUCUGAGCUGACAUGAAGGUACUUAUAGUCCUAAUUUAUUAUACUUAGUAGGAAUAUUUAUGCAUUUUAAUGCAAAAACAAUCAUGUGUUAAACUACAAGGUGUUCUCCCAGAC
Molecule: long non-coding RNA, 848 nt
Filed under: Fukomys damarensis (Damara mole-rat)
Lineage: Eukaryota; Metazoa; Chordata; Mammalia; Rodentia; Bathyergidae
Description: lncRNA (ENSFDAG00000025945.1)
Source: RNAcentral